GUGGUUCGGAAGAGUUCGGGUCGAGAUUCAGCGAGGAAAAGCUUUUUUCGGGACUACAAAGAUGAUGACGGUUGCUCGAACAUCUCCUAAAGCGACACCAUUAUCUCACGGGCGGUGGGCAUUACCUCGUGUUUCGUAUUAAGUACAUCAGAUAUGCGGUGGGCAAUUACCUCAUGUUUCUUAUCAAGAGAUUUGUGGUUCAAUAUCUAUAAAAAAAAAAAAAAAAAAAAAAAAAAAAAAAAAAAGAAAAAA
Molecule: non-coding RNA, 252 nt
Organism: Benincasa hispida (wax gourd)
Lineage: Eukaryota; Viridiplantae; Streptophyta; Magnoliopsida; Cucurbitales; Cucurbitaceae
Source: RefSeq, a predicted model, not a curated record